RNAcentral lists this transfer RNA (73 nucleotides) under Diaphorina citri (Asian citrus psyllid). It matches the Rfam family "tRNA". Rfam says of the family: Transfer RNA (tRNA) molecules are approximately 80 nucleotides in length. Their secondary structure includes four short double-helical elements and three loops (D, anti-codon, and T loops). Further hydrogen bonds mediate the characteristic L-shaped molecular structure. tRNAs have two regions of fundamental functional importance: the anti-codon, which is responsible for specific mRNA codon recognition, and the 3' end, to which the tRNAs corresponding amino acid is attached (by aminoacyl-tRNA synthetases). tRNAs cope with the degeneracy of the genetic code in two manners: having more than one tRNA (with a specific anti-codon) for a particular amino acid; and 'wobble' base-pairing, i.e. permitting non-standard base-pairing at the 3rd anti-codon position. Lineage: Eukaryota; Metazoa; Arthropoda; Insecta; Hemiptera; Psyllidae. The record is from Rfam by way of RNAcentral.
GCUCCCAUGGCGUAGUGGUCCACUGCGCUCGCCUUGCACGCGGGAGACCCGGGUUCGAUUCCCGGCGGGGUCA